CAAGAGCGUAUAUUAAAGUUGUUGCAGUUAAAAAGCUCGUAGUUGGAUUUCUGGUACAACGCGCCUGGCCCGCUUACGUGAGUGCCGGUGCGCGUUUGCCAUCCUUCUAGAAAACGUCUCUACUCGGGCAACUGGGCCGGAUUCGCGAUCUAGAUCUUUUACUUUGAAAAAUUAGAGUGUUUAAAGCAGGCUAUUGCCUUGAAUACAUUAGCAUGGAAUAAUGGAAUAGGACUACGGUCUCUUUGUUGGUUUGAGGGACUGCAGUAAUGAUUAAUAGGGAUAGUUGGGGGCAUUAGUAUUUAAUUGUCAGAGGUGGAAUUCUCGGAUUUGUUAAAGACUAACUUAUGCGAAAGCAUUUGCCAAGGAUGUUUUCAUUAAUCAAGAACGAAAGUUAGGGGAUCAAAGACGAUUAGAUACCAU
RNAcentral lists this ribosomal RNA (420 nucleotides) under uncultured eukaryote. Its description in RNAcentral is "bacterial SSU rRNA". It matches the Rfam family "Eukaryotic small subunit ribosomal RNA", at positions 592 to 1018 of the family's 1831-position model. The record is from RNAcentral.